RNAcentral lists this ribosomal RNA (397 nucleotides) under uncultured bacterium. Its description in RNAcentral is "partial 16S ribosomal RNA". It matches the Rfam family "Bacterial small subunit ribosomal RNA", at positions 523 to 918 of the family's 1533-position model. The record is from RNAcentral.
AUACGUAGGGGGCGAGCGUUGUCCGGAAUGAUUGGGCGUAAAGGGCGCGUAGGCGGCCCGGUAAGUCUGGAGUGAAAGUCCUGUUUUUAAGAUGGGAAUUGCUUUGGAUACUGUCGGGCUUGAGUGCAGGAGAGGUAAGUGGAAUUCCCAGUGUAGCGGUGAAAUGCGUAGAGAUUGGGAGGAACACCAGUGGCGAAGGCGACUUACUGGACUGUAACUGACGCUGAGGCGCGAAAGUGUGGGGAGCAAACAGGAUUAGAUACCCUGGUAGUCCACACUGUAAACGAUGAAUGCUAGGUGUAGGGGGUAUCGACCCCUUCUGUGCCGCAGUCAACACAAUAAGCAUUCCGCCUGGGGAGUACGGCCGCAAGGUUGAAACUCAAAGGAAUGGACGGGG